UUUCUUCGGGGCAGGGUGACAGAUCCGUAGAAGGAGAAGAAUUCCCUACCGGCGGUAUAGUCCGCGAGCCGCAUUGGCGGUUGAUUUGGUGAAAUUCCAAAACCGACAGUAUAGUCUGGAUGAGAGAAGA
RNAcentral lists this non-coding RNA (130 nucleotides) under uncultured Blautia sp. Its description in RNAcentral is "FMN riboswitch (RFN element)". It matches the Rfam family "FMN riboswitch aptamer (RFN element)". From Rfam's summary of the family: The RFN element is a highly conserved domain that is found frequently in the 5'-untranslated regions of prokaryotic mRNAs that encode for flavin mononucleotide (FMN) biosynthesis and transport proteins. This element is a metabolite-dependent riboswitch that directly binds FMN in the absence of proteins. Lineage: Bacteria; Bacillati; Bacillota; Clostridia; Lachnospirales; Lachnospiraceae. The record is from RNAcentral.